RNAcentral lists this ribosomal RNA (485 nucleotides) under uncultured bacterium. RNAcentral describes it as "partial 16S ribosomal RNA". It matches the Rfam family "Bacterial small subunit ribosomal RNA", at positions 30 to 506 of the family's 1533-position model. The record is from RNAcentral.
AUUGAACGCUGGCGGCAUGCCUUACACAUGCAAGUCGAACGGCAGCACGGGUGCUUGCACCUGGUGGCGAGUGGCGAACGGGUGAGUAAUACAUCGGAACAUGUCCUGUAGUGGGGGAUAGCCCGGCGAAAGCCGGAUUAAUACCGCAUACGAUCUACGGAUGAAAGCGGGGGACCUUCGGGCCUCGCGCUAUAGGGUUGGCCGAUGGCUGAUUAGCUAGUUGGUGGGGUAAAGGCCUACCAAGGCGACGAUCAGUAGCUGGUCUGAGAGGACGACCAGCCACACUGGGACUGAGACACGGCCCAGACUCCUACGGGAGGCAGCAGUGGGGAGUUUUGGACAAUGGGCGAAAGCCUGAUCCAGCAAUGCCGCGUGUGUGAAGAAGGCCUUCGGGUUGUAAAGCACUUUUGUCCGGAAAGAAAUCCUUGGCCCUAAUACGGGCGGGGGAUGACGGUACCGGAAGAAUAAGCACCGGCUAACUACGU